ACUGGGGGGGGGGGAAUCCUGCAACGCCGCCUGCCCAAAGUGACCUCUAAGAUGGGAGCGAGGCCGUGUCUUCGCUGUCAUGGAGCCCCCAGCUCGGCUUGCUUCUUCCAUCUCCGUUUUCCGUCUCUUGUGCAGCGCCGCUUCUAGUCGGCGGCGGGGCGGCAGUGUUUGCAAACUGGUGCUCUGUGUGUGUGUGUUUGUGUUUGUGUUGUGCAGACUGUGGAGCACACAGCUAGCCCGGCAAGCAAGGUGCAAAAUGGCAUUGGCUUUCCAAGUACAGGAGAAGAGAGAGGGUUUCUGCAGUCUGCUUCUUUCUGCUUCAGAAUAUCACCUUAUUGGCUCUCUUCACGAAAUCAGAUGACUUCCCAGCUGCAGAAAGAAACCCAGCAUCCAAAUUUUUCUUGGAUGUCCUCCUGUUUCCCCAAAGCCACCAACUGCCUACUGCACCUUGACCUUGGAAGUGACUUUGAUACCCUCCUAUUUCUUGUGAUAGUGUGUUACUUUGCUUUGUAAAAACACGUUAUUCCAGGUGAUGGCUCAGACGUAUUAUCAGGGAAGCGUGUGUGAAGCUUUGCUGGGGCACUCCGACUGAUUCUGUGUGCAUAAUGGAUAACAUCAUUUCUUAAAACAGUUAAUCCAGCAGCAUUUUUAUGAUAACAAUAAAAGCUUCUUUUUUAAGCAUAUUUUUGGUGUAUAUGCCUUUGAGGUCUUUUUGAUACUACAGUCAUACCUUGGAAGUCGAACGGAAUCCAUUCCAGAAGUCCAUUUGACUUCCAAAACGUUCAAAAACCAAAGCAUGGCUUCUGAUUGGCAGCAGGAACCUCCUGCAGCCAAUUGGAAGCCCCGUUGGAUGUUCGGCUUCCAAAAAUAGUUUGCAAACCGGAACAGUCACUUCCAUGUUUGCAAACGUUCAGCAGCCAAAACGCUCGGGAACUAAGCUGUUCGAAAACUAAGGUACGACUGUGUAUGUUGUUAGGGAGUGGCCCUGAUCCCAGAUCUUCUGUGGUGGGCCCCAUAUUUCCUAUCCCUUCUUCUCCUCUCCUUUAUAAAAAUAAUUUUUACUUUGCUUGUAGGGUGGCUGGACACCAUGCUAAUGAGACCCUAAACUGCCCACCAUCUUAAUUUCCCAGAGGCAUCUAUACAUCUAAAUUGGCUUAUGGAAAUGUUAUGGAAAUUCAAGGCCUUUGCCCAAAGUGCUUCUAAGUACCCAACAAUACCCUUGCUUCUAAUAAAAGUGUGUUUGUUGAACUGCUACCAAACACUUUCAUCACCCUUAAAACAUUACUUGCUUAAUAGCCGCUCUUUGAGUCUGAAACUUGUUUUCCAAGAGAUCUGCUAAAUUCUGAGCAUGGGUAUCACCCAGAAGUGAUUUAUAGCUUUUUUAACAUUUUGUUUUCAGUGGUGGGGAAAAGCUAUAAGGAUGUGUUAACCAUUAAAUGUUAAAUCUAUAUUUAACAUUUGAGUAUAUUACUUUAUAUUGAUAAAAUGGCUGUUAUCCCAGCCUGAGGGAUUAGGCUAGAAAUAAUGUUACUUUUAUAAAUGAAGUAAGAAAUAAGAAUACGCAAAGGGAGAAAUAAUCUCGUUCCUGGCUCUCUGGAGAUACCCAAAGCUUGCAGCUGUGAAUGGCUGAAUAGAAAUGAAAUGGGAGUUGGAUAAUCUGUAGCCAGCAGCUUCCUCAUUUUUCUUGCUGUGAACUUGGAACUCUCUCUAUAUUUGGCAAGUGGUCCUGCAAAUGCAAGAAAAGCAUUUGCUUUGUUCCAUCCGGGGUAGAUUUGAUUAUAAAUCCAGCGAGGAAUAUUAUGUAACUGAACAAUUUCCUUUUCAUAACUCAAUUUAUAAAAUUUCAGCAUGGGAGAUAUUGUAGCAGCCUCGUGACUGACGGGGAAUCAUGGUGAGUUAAGGGCUGGGAGCAAAGAGGCAUGCAGAGCCCAACUAAAAAACAAGAUGGGCAUAGUAGGAUGGCGAGGGAGAAUGACCAGAGUUCCUCCCAUGGUGCUCAAGGAACAUUAAUGGGCUGAGUUGUAGAGGCAUCACAUGAUACUCAGGAGGGCUUAAUAGCCUGCUCGAAAUGGGUAUCAUGCUGCAGGCAUCACAUGGCACUCGGAAGGUUCAUCUACGCUAACUGCUCAGUUUACUGUGCAGUACUGGGGCCAGAAGGGGGGAAAUUGCACGUUUGCAUGCCUUGAUUUCUGGAGGUGGCAAUGCAAGGAGAAUACAGUGGUACCUCGAGUUACAAAUGCCUCAGGCUACAAAUGCUUCAGGUUACAAACUCCGCUAACCUGGAAGAGUUAUCUCGAGUUGAGAACUUUGCCCCAGGAUGAGAACGGAAAUCGUGUCCUGGUGGUGCAGCAGCAGCAAGAGGCCCCAUUAGCGAAAGCACGCCUCUAGUUAAGAACAGUUUCAGGUUAAGAACGGACCUCUGGAACGAAUUAAGUUCAUAACCAGAGGUACCACUGUACCUCACCAUAACAGUUUGCUUUAGGGAAAUAGAUGGAUAUGCAAAGUAUUUUCCAAAGGAGUUGGCAAGCAGAGUAAGGAAGCUAUGGGGGGCAGUUAAAAUGGUAAAGGAUGCUUAAAAUUGCAUCUUCUGGACACUGGAAUUCUUCCCCAGACCUCAUCGGAAUUUAAAGUCUUCACAAUGUACAGUAUUCACUUUCCCCAGGCUCCUGAUGUGGUGCGUGUUGUGAGAAGGCUUUUUCUUCUUUCCCAUGUCCAUUGAUUGGGUCAGGAGGCAGACAGCCAAUUCAUUCUGCUCCCAAUCAAUAGCUAGAAGUUCUCUUUUUUAUAAUUAUUACGUGGCCAGAUCAUUUUUCAUUGUUAGAAACAGGGUUUAGAAAACGGUUGCUUCAGGCAGACAGCUUCAAGGGGAGCACAGUUUGUCUCCCUUCUCUCUAUGAAUAGAAAAGGAAAGAAAACCGCAGUCCAGAAUUGAGUGGAGCAAUUCUGACUUCUUAGUUCAGGUGUGGAUGAACCAUUAUCAGUAGUGUUGGAUUCUGUAAGCUCUGAGAAGCCUUGUCUGGGUUCUGGAAAUAGACUCUUUCCAUAUCAAGGUAUACCUCGGAUUGUUCCUUUCCGCACUUAAAGUGCUUUUGAGCAUAUUUAUUUAAGGAGUUCUAUACCACCUUUUACCAAACAGUUGACAGGGCAGUUUGCAAAUUCAAAGCAAAAUACAUAAUAUAAAAUAUCAAAAUGGCAAACUAAAAUAAGAUUCAGGUAGGUAGCCGUGUUGAUCUGACACAGUCGAAAUAAAAAAAGAAAAAAAUUGUCCAGUAGCACCUCAGAUGGUAUUCUUCAGGUGGGAUCUGAAGAAGUGUGCAUGCACAUGAAAGCUUAUACCCAGAACAAAUUUAGUUGGUCUCUAAGGU
This is a long non-coding RNA of Podarcis raffonei (Aeolian wall lizard), 3365 nucleotides long. RefSeq lists it as uncharacterized. NCBI's taxonomy places the organism in Eukaryota, Metazoa, Chordata, Lepidosauria, Squamata, Lacertidae. The record is from RefSeq and is a predicted model, not a curated record. The transcript has 3 exons.